GAGGGUAUAGUUCAGUGGUAGAGUGUGUGCCUAGGAUGCAUGAGGUCAUGGGUUCAAUCCCCAGUACCUCCA
RNAcentral lists this transfer RNA (72 nucleotides) under Camelus bactrianus (Bactrian camel). It matches the Rfam family "tRNA". Rfam says of the family: Transfer RNA (tRNA) molecules are approximately 80 nucleotides in length. Their secondary structure includes four short double-helical elements and three loops (D, anti-codon, and T loops). Further hydrogen bonds mediate the characteristic L-shaped molecular structure. tRNAs have two regions of fundamental functional importance: the anti-codon, which is responsible for specific mRNA codon recognition, and the 3' end, to which the tRNAs corresponding amino acid is attached (by aminoacyl-tRNA synthetases). tRNAs cope with the degeneracy of the genetic code in two manners: having more than one tRNA (with a specific anti-codon) for a particular amino acid; and 'wobble' base-pairing, i.e. permitting non-standard base-pairing at the 3rd anti-codon position. The record is from Rfam by way of RNAcentral. Lineage: Eukaryota; Metazoa; Chordata; Mammalia; Artiodactyla; Camelidae. RNAcentral also lists the same sequence under 2 other names.